GCAGAGUCAAGGGGAGGAACCGAAAGCCCAAAGACCAUUUCCUUCAGUGUGGCGAUUGCUUCUCAGAGUCCCUCCAGAGACACAGGAGCAGCAGGGAAGUGGGGCCUGUUUUCACUUUACAAAAAGAAAUCCUGAACCUCCCGCCAGGCAUCCGCCAACCCCAGGGGAUGAGAAUCUCCAUGUUACACACUGCAUUAGCCUCCAGUGGGUAGGCGCUGUGAAUGUGUACCCCAUGCCUGCUCUGGACCAGGCACUGCAGAAUCACCCCACAGAGUUGUAGGCAAUCAACAGGUGUCCACUUCUUUCUAGGCACACAUGCUGUUCACCUCCUGUGGAUGUCUUGGUUGAUGAUACCCUCUGGACCCCCUCAACCUCAGAAAGCCUGUGACUACAAUCCAGGAUUGGCAAAAUUUCCUGAAAGCCUCCGGAAGAGCGCAAUUCCUUGUGGACAGCCAUGUUGGGGACACAGGGGAAAACCGCUUCCCCCAGGAUCUAGUGGGCUGAUGUGAUCCUGCUAUUUCCCCUGCUCCCAACUUCUGGGAGCAGAAGAUGCCAUGAGCGAAUGUGUAUGAUUGACAAGGAUCAAAGCCUUCCUCUGGUCCCUGUGCUGGAGUUGUCAGUGUGUGCAAAAACUAACAAUGGCACCUCCCCCAUCCAGGAAGACUGCAACUCGAGGAUGCUCCCUACAGAGCCCUCCUAAGAAGGUCAACUGACCUGCCCCCACUUUGCUAUACUAAUAAAAGUGCUGAGCUAACAGGUGGGUUGGGGCAAGUACAAUUACCCAA
Molecule: long non-coding RNA, 785 nt
Organism: Mastomys coucha (southern multimammate mouse)
Lineage: Eukaryota; Metazoa; Chordata; Mammalia; Rodentia; Muridae
Exons: 2
Source: RefSeq, a predicted model, not a curated record